RNAcentral lists this antisense RNA (100 nucleotides) under Rhodanobacter spathiphylli B39. RNAcentral's name for it is "ctRNA". It matches the Rfam family "ctRNA". Rfam says of the family: Rolling circle replication plasmids contain a number of mechanisms to maintain a low copy number. Lineage: Bacteria; Pseudomonadati; Pseudomonadota; Gammaproteobacteria; Lysobacterales; Rhodanobacteraceae. The record is from Rfam by way of RNAcentral.
AUACAAAAUAUAUAAAAAACAACUUAGUGUUUUUUUCUUUAGGUAAGUCGCUAUCACAAACUUUGGUCGGGGCGUGGGCGACUUCUUUUUUUAUUUUGUU